Molecule: ribosomal RNA, 397 nt
Filed under: uncultured bacterium
Lineage: Bacteria
Description: partial 16S ribosomal RNA
Rfam family: Bacterial small subunit ribosomal RNA
Source: RNAcentral
AUACGUAGGGGGCGAGCGUUGUCCGGAAUGAUUGGGCGUAAAGGGCGCGUAGGCGGCCCGGUAAGUCUGGAGUGAAAGUCCUGUUUUUAAGAUGGGAAUUGCUUUGGAUACUGUCGGGCUUGAGUGCAGGAGAGGUAAGUGGAAUUCCCAGUGUAGCGGUGAAAUGCGUAGAGAUUGGGAGGAACACCAGUGGCGAAGGCGACUUACUGGACUGUAACUGACGGUGAGGCGCGAAAGUGUGGGGAGCAAACAGGAUUAGAUACCCUGGUAGUCCACACUGUAAACGAUGAAUGCUAGGUGUAGGGGGUAUCGACCCCUUCUGUGCCGCAGUCAACACAAUAAGCAUUCCGCCUGGGGAGUACGUCCGCAAGGUUGAAACUCAAAUGAAUUGACGGGG